GGAAGUAUGACACUUGAGGCCCUCAACAGAUAUGCCCCACUGGGGACCUAGCACCACCAGUAGGCUCCACAGUGGGAGCUAAGGAGUCUCCACCUGGGCUUCCUGCUCCAAUGAGGUGGGGGAAAGAAGCUAUCCUAAAUUCUUCCACUUUCCAAGAAGAGGAAGAAGCAGCUUAUGCUGUUCACUGCACCCCCGGCACCCACCCAUGCAGAGGAGUGGAAGAAAAACAGUUCUCAGACAUCGCUCUCCCACAGAAGAAGGAUGAAAUUGCUCUUAGUGUGUGGAACAGACUGGCCUGCUACUUCCCAAAAGACAUCUCCUCCUGAGGACUUCCAAUAAGACCACUCCUGCUGCUGGGGGGUAUAUUUUUCAUUUGCUUAGAAACACUGGACCAAAACUCUCAAACUUGGAUGUUGACAUUAGCUACCUAUAGCUACAGCUGAGCAACUAAAUACAAGUGACCUGAUAUUUCGGGAGUGCUGCAGACUCACUUAUCUUCUUGAUUUCCAUGGAGUUACUCCUGGUAAGGAAGGCACAGGAAGAUAUGAAGGACUAAAUAGAACUGGACAAUUCCCAAGCUAUAGAAAGUUACUGAUGACUUUAACUCCCUGGCAAAUGACCAAGGACCACAUCUGCUCAUUCAGCAUUUCCACCCUAAUCAGUUCCACAUUACCUGUCUAAGGUGGAACUUUGAGUUUUCUCUUAUUUCUGUUGCCUGUUUGUGUUCAUUACAUCCUCAAACCAAUGUGUAUUUUGUAUUAUCACCCUGUCUGUGGCAGUGAUGGGAGAACCUACCGGAACAAGUGUGAGCUCUGCAGUUACUGCAGGGAACAUGGCAAGAAUAUAAAGAUUGUAAAGGAAGGAGCAUGUUAAAGAUUGAAGAUACCACCAUCUGUCUUGUCUUGCACACCCUGGAAUCCUUAAGGCUUAUUAAUUUUUAAUCCUGCCAUGGUGCCAAGGGGCCAACUAGAUUUCCUUUUGAGGUUCCUACAUU
Molecule: long non-coding RNA, 994 nt
Organism: Mauremys reevesii (Reeves's turtle)
Lineage: Eukaryota; Metazoa; Chordata; Testudines; Geoemydidae
Exons: 6
Source: RefSeq, a predicted model, not a curated record